UGAGAUAGAGGAUGCGCUGAGUCAUCAGUAAUGGAACCAAGUGCCGUGCAGGGCAGGGACCACGAAAGGGGCUGGCGCCGAAGUGAGGAAGGGCUGCAUCCCGACUGAUCUGGGCGGACGGAAUAAGAUCCGUACGACUGUCGCAGAUAUGCGGAGUGCUAUCCG
RNAcentral lists this non-coding RNA (165 nucleotides) under bovine gut metagenome. Its description in RNAcentral is "Lysine riboswitch". It matches the Rfam family "Lysine riboswitch aptamer". Rfam says of the family: Riboswitches are metabolite binding domains within certain messenger RNAs that serve as precision sensors for their corresponding targets. Allosteric rearrangement of mRNA structure is mediated by ligand binding, and this results in modulation of gene expression. This family includes riboswitches that sense lysine in a number of genes involved in lysine metabolism, including lysC. The record is from RNAcentral.